UAGGGAAUCUUCCGCAAUGGACGCAAGUCUGACGGAGCAACGCCGCGUGAGUGAAGAAGGAUUUCGGUUCGUAAAACUCUGUUGUUAGAGAAGAACAGCGCAUAGAGUAACUGUUAUGCGUGUGACGGUAUCUAACCAGAAAGCCACGGCUAACUACGUGCCAGCAGCCGCGGUAAUACGUAGGUGGCAAGCGUUGUCCGGAUUUAUUGGGCGUAAAGCGAGCGCAGGCGGUCAAUUAAGUCUGAUGUGAAAGCCCCCGGCUCAACCGGGGAGGGUCAUUGGAAACUGGUUGACUUGAGUGCAGAAGAGGGUAGUGGAAUUCCAUGUGUAGCGAUGAAAUGCGUAGAUAUAUGGAGGAACACCAGUGGCGAAGGCGACUCUCUGGUCUGUAACUGACGCUGAGGCUCGAAAGCGUGGGUAGCAAACAGG
This 429-nucleotide ribosomal RNA is filed under the name Bacteroidota bacterium. RNAcentral's name for it is "Bacteroidetes bacterium partial 16S ribosomal RNA". It matches the Rfam family "Bacterial small subunit ribosomal RNA", at positions 355 to 776 of the family's 1533-position model. Lineage: Bacteria; Pseudomonadati; Bacteroidota. The record is from RNAcentral.